Russula brevipes is the source of this 72-nucleotide non-coding RNA. The record is from the annotation of a GenBank genome assembly. Lineage: Eukaryota; Fungi; Basidiomycota; Agaricomycetes; Russulales; Russulaceae.
GGCCAGGAAGCUCAAUAGGAAGAGCACCUGGUAUAUAUCCAGAAGGCCUGGGUUCAACCCCCAGUCUGGCCC